UACCAAGGUUUCCGUAGGUGAACCUGCGGAAGGAU
This 35-nucleotide ribosomal RNA is filed under the name Agonimia foliacea. RNAcentral describes it as "partial 18S ribosomal RNA". Lineage: Eukaryota; Fungi; Ascomycota; Eurotiomycetes; Verrucariales; Verrucariaceae. The record is from RNAcentral.